This 442-nucleotide ribosomal RNA is filed under the name uncultured bacterium. Its description in RNAcentral is "partial 16S ribosomal RNA". It matches the Rfam family "Bacterial small subunit ribosomal RNA", at positions 338 to 795 of the family's 1533-position model. The record is from RNAcentral.
CCUACGGGCGGCAGCAGUGGGGAAUAUUGGGCAAUGGGCGCAAGCCUGACCCAGCAACGCCGCGUGAAGGAAGAAGGCUUUCGGGUUGUAAACUUCUUUUAAGAGGGAAGAGCAGAAGACGGUACCUCUUGAAUAAGCCACGGCUAACGACGUGCCAGCAGCCGCGGGAAUACGUAGGUGGCAAGCGUUGUCCGGAUUUACUGGGUGUAAAGGGCGUGCAGCCGGGAAGACAAGUCAGAUGUGAAAUCCCGCGGCUCAACCUCCAAAUUGCAUUUGAAACUGUUUGUCUUGAGUACUGGAGAGGCAGGCGGAAUUCCUUGUGUAGCGGUGAAAUGCGUAGAUAUAAGGAGGAACACCAGUGGCGAAGGCGGUCUGCUGGACAGCAACUGACGGUGAGGCGCGAAAGCGUGGGGAGCAAACAGGAUUAGAUACCCUUGUAGUC